ACAACAGGGAAUAAAACCCUGAGUAUGAAAUUACUCAGCAAGACUUACCCGACUAAAGAAAAGACUCUCAAGGAUAUGCUGGAUUUGGGAAUCAAGGAGAGGCUUUAGCAAGAAUCAACUUAGAUACUUUUGCAGAAUUAGCUUACUAAAGUGAGUCCUUACUUUCAAUAUUUUAAUGCCAGAUUAAAUAUUAAUAGACUCUGUUUGCAUCUGGUCUAAUUUCACCAUCUCAUCAAUACAACAUCAUUUUUAUUCAUGAGGUUCACAUCCUGACUUAGGUUGCAGGGCAGCGAUCAAGUCUCCACUCUCCAGGGAUAUAACGGUGAUCUGAAUCGAUUUACUCAGCUGAGGAUCUCUAACCACACGACAUAUGUAGCACUUAACCCUUGCAUAUGUCAACCGUUCCCACGGAUCCUCCACUACAUGAACAGGUCCACGCCACCCGAGAGCACACCACCCCUUUUAGGCGAUCCUUUGCCAGGAGGGUACGUGCCACUCUCGCCAUCUCUCCACUCCCAGUGCGCGAUUGUCUUUCCAUGUAUGGAAUAGCCGGGUUCAAGCUUACCCUGUCCCAUAUCCAGGGCAUGUGGCUAGUUAAGAUAGUCCUUGAUCAUACAGGCCUACAUACGCAUCCAAUCCUUAAUUGACCCGGGCGGAACAUCACCUGUUCCUAGCCCAAGUCCCGAUUUAAGUACUUCCACCCUUAGGAUUGUUUGUAUUCCUUAGGAUGAAAAGAGCAUCAAAGGGAACUUUGCAGUAAGAUCCCAUCACGCUCUGAAUGAAAAUAUUCUUGCAGGUAGAAGCCAUCUUUCCUCAGGAUAACCCCUGAGCUAGGCCUUAAUGCAAAAGACAACCUCUAUCCACAAGAUCUGGCAGGGCUAAGCAUUUUUGUAAAUCAUGUUUUGAUACUUCACCAGAAGUAUCUAUAAAGGUAUGGAUAUCAAGGAAGGCAAUGCAUCAAAGGGUUUCCAAACAACUCCUAUAAACCUAAUGCACAUUCACUAGACUUAAAGUGUGUAAAAAUAAUUUAAAAACACAAGGAAGGGGUUGCAUGCACCGGGGCUUGCCUGGAUAACACUAGGUUAGUGUUUGUUAGACGUCGUCCACUUAGCGAUCAUCUUUUGUUCUGAUACUUGUUUCGUUUGUCCAUCUUCAGUUCCGUUCAUCAGCACCAUCUUGUGGUCGACUCAAUUCUGGUUCUCCACAUCACGUGGUUAAUUCACGUACCUGAAUGAAAUGCAUUAUGCAUAUGAAUGCAUAUAGACAGGAAUAUCGCAAACCUAAAUAGUGCUUGCGAUAGCGAAUUAAACACCUAGCGGCGAGGCGUUGAAUAAUUUCAUAUGAAAAUACUAGUUAUCGAUAUACGACUACACGCAAUAAUUACGCUCCUCUAGAUUAAACGAACCUAACGUAAACAUCACGAGCAACAAACUAUACACCUUUAAUAUACUUAGCCUAAACAUAACUUAUCAGCUAAUUAAUUAAAUUCUAAACUUAUCCUUCAUUUUAUAAAUUGUACUAUAUCGCUCACAAAGAACUAUUUUAAUUUUAUUUUACUUCUCACAUAUUUUACAUGUCAACAAUUACUCAAACAUUUCUUUAUCAUAAAUACAUACACAUCUUUAUAAGUGAGUAAAAUAUUUUAUCAUCACACAGGCCUACUAAUAUUCUACUCGGUACACUAAUUCAGCUAAUUAAUCAGAAUAGCGAAAUAACUCGCCACAACUGAAUCUGGCUCGAUAAUCGCAAGAACCGCGAAGUCGACGAGAGUUUCGUGACUUACGCAAUUUAUCGAGCACCUUAAUAAGCAUCGCACUAGCACAUUAAUUUAUUCAUCGAUCGAACUAUUCUGAAUAAUUUAUCAGCUUACCGUUUCCAUAGCUGACACGAAUCCGCGAGAUCGGUAGCGAUUUUUUGAUCCAGGCAAUUUGUCGAGCGCUUGGGGAAUAUCGUGCUUCUAGCUUCGUCUUCACCCGAUUCUUGGGAUUUCUUGAUGAUGCACGGAACGACUAUGACCUUCGAUUGAAGUCGGGAGCGAGCUGGUGAGGUGGGGUUGAGCAGGAGAUGACGAGUUUGACGACUCGACUGCAAAUGUGAGCACGUGUGAAGCCCGAUGGAUGAAGAGCGAGCGUGACACAGCAAGAACGAGCAGGCACGCGAGUGUUAACGCGAGCCAGCGGCAAGCACGAGUGCUGAGGUACAACCGACAACACUCGGCGAGCACGCAGCGUGUAAGACCCAAAAUUAGUAGAAUUUUUUUUUGAAUUAUAAAAUAAAUAAAUAAAUAAAUAUAGUUGUUGUAGUGCUUUAGGUAAUGAGAAAAGAAAUUUGUAAUGAAGUCAACCAUCGUUAGAGUCAAAUAUGAGAAAGAGAAUAAAAUGGUAAUAUUUAAAAUAAUAUGGUUGAUAUUCACAAUUGGAUUUCAAUUGAGACUUUUGGGAAAUUUUAAAUUUAAAACAUGAGUUGAAUUUAAUUUGGAUAUCUGCAAUUUGAAAAUGGAAAGAGGAAUGGGGAAAGAUAAUGAGAUAGAAAUGGAAAAGGAUAUACAUUAUAAAACAAGAUAUAUAUGAUUAAUUAUAAUUUUUCACACUAGUGCUUUAUUGGUACAUUUAAGCCUAUGUGUGAACUCACAAACGAAUUUGAAUUCAAAUACUAAACUUUGAAAUUAAGAAAGAAAUGCAAAACAAAAAUAAUAAAAGAACAAAAAAAUGGGGGGGGUCGAAUUGGGCCCAAAACCCCCGGCUGGCCUAUUUCUCCACUCCCGCCGCCUACUUCAGGGCUGCGCUCCCAGGCGCCGACCGGUGGGCCCGCCCAGGCAGCCACCCGGGGCGUGUGCGGUCGCUGUUCUGCGGGGCCCGCGUAGUCGGUCUCUGGGGCUCAAUAGCGACUCCCCCUUUUCGCUGAAGCAUGGGCCCGGGUGUGCGGGAGUCAUCCCCUACCUCGUGACCAGACUGCCGCUACCGAUGCCGCGAUUCUCGCGCUGCACCAGGAUUCUGUUGCCGCUUUCCCCUGGACUCGAUCCUCGCGGACUCUGCCUAUAAAACCCAGCCGUCGUCCCUGCUCGUCACCAGAAAACCUUCAUGGCGCAUCAAGCACAGGGUGAGAGAUAGGGGAGCGCUGAGUCAAGCCGGGAGCCGCCACCGUGCGAAUCAAGGGUCACCGCCGUCAAAGCUAUCCGUGCCAUCGUUCGGAGUCCUUGGGAAGGCGCGGGGGUCAUCUGUGCAUCGUUAAUUGCUCAUCGGAGCAAAAUCUCCGCCGUGACUCGCUUCUCACCGUGGUCUGGGCACUAGGCUGCAUACCUCUCGGUGAGUACCCCCCCAACUACUUCCCAUCGUCCGUCUCUAGAGAAUUCCGCCUCUGGAUUGGAGUUUAUGCGUUGUGAGUGGGGGAGUGCGUGGCACCGGCCAUGGCACGCCGCCGUGUAGUUCCUGCGCGGCGUCGCUCGGCCUGGCUCAGGGAUGGAAGAAGACGGGUCCCUGUCCGUAGGAUUGAGAUGGACGGCUGGGAUUAAAAGUAGCAUUUACCCCUUCGCGUAUUGAAUCCAAGCCUUUGGCGCCUGAUCGAGUGGAUGGGGUUUGAGAUCGUCUGGAACCAUGGAUGCCGCAUCCAAGGGUUGUGGGUGAUUCAUGUUCACUUUAGGGGGGAUCUAAUCCCGUCGGUUGAUGGGCGAUCGGACGGCUCUGGGUCCCCGGUACCUCUUUGCCGUUGCCGAGUUGCUAAAGAGCCCCUGCAGUUUUUCUUAUUCAACCCGCCAUCCCGUGCCAUUACAAGACCAUUACCGUUUAGUCCUGGAAUUUAUGUAGAACCCCCUGGUCUUUGUUAAAAUUGUGUCGCCAGUCCAUACAUAGAAUAAAGGGAGGAAAUUAAUAAGGAAAAUAUGAUUUUAGUAUAAAAAUAAAUCUCGAAACUUAUUUAAUUCAUAUUUAGCUCAUUUUAACUCUGAUUUGAUCCAUUCGAAUUGCGUUAGCUUCAUAAAAAUAUUAUCUACGUAGUAUCAACAUCAUGUAUACCAUAUUCCAUAUAAUUAUAAUUAGGAUAGUGUUAAACUUUAUUCAGUAUAUUAACUCUAUUAACCUAGGAUUAAUCUCUCCAUAAAUGUAAUCUGAGUAAAAGGUAAUCCCUAAUCAAGUUAUGAUCUAGGUUAAAGUUGGAUUAAUUAUUUAGAAUAUAUUUUCUCAUAUAUUGUAUAAUAUAGUUUAAUCACAUAGAUCUUCCAUACAUCAUAACUCCUUAAACGUAACCCCGAUUUUAGUGAUUCUCGUUCCUACGAUCUCGUAGCGGCUCGUAGAUUAUUAUUACGCAAUUUAUUCUUAUGUUUGGUGUAAUGUUAAUUUUGCCUAUACACUGUUUGUUUGUAAUUCUACGACUAGCGUGAGGACACGUGUCAUCUGAAGAGCAAGUUGGUACCUGGAAUCUCAAGUCCCAAGCAAGUUGUGCCCUUGAUCACUUCUUUUUACCCACUCAUGUUCUAAUUAAUCAUAAUGAUCUGCAUAGGUUAAUUUUGAUGGGACCCAAUAGGUUACCCUAGUUUGAUUAUCUUUAUACCUUGUUUACCACUGAACUUUUUGGGUAGUACUUGCUAGUGCUUUAUAUGGUUUUGGGUAUGAAGAUUCAUUAUUCAUGAUCACACUUUUAUUAUCUAUUUAUUAUUACUUUUCAUGAUAAGAUCAUUAUGUUAAUUGGAACAUGGAGCGACCACCUAGGAAAACAGUGCUACCACAAGGGUCUAUGGGACGCCCUUGGAUGAUUAAUUAGGAAAGCUAGUGGAAGACUACCUUACCCGAAAGGGGCAAGGGCAGUAGGGGAGUGGUCAGUGUAGGGAGGUCCUUGGGAUGAUUUUGCUGCGAUGGCGAUCAUGCGGGGGAUCCCUGCAUUGGAGCUUCCUAUAAACUGUAGCGGGUUUUCUGAAGCUAGUGGAACUUUAUAAAGGCCUCGUAGUGUUACCCUGCCUCGCCUCCUCGAUGGUGUAUGGGAAGUCGCGAUCCCUUGGCAGAUGGGUAACAUGACUUGUGGGUAAAGAUGUGCAACCUCUGCAGAGUGUAAAACUGGUAUACUAGCCGUGAUCACGGUCAUGAGCAGCUCGGACCCUCACAUGAUUAAUUUAUGGAACUAAAUUGAAUUUGUCAUAUGCAUUGCAUCGCAGGUGAUGUUAUUACUUUUCUUAAUUGGGUUGGAAUUUACUUAUACUUAGUAACUGCUAAUAAAAUUUUGACCAACUUUAAAAGCAAUGCUCAGCUCUAACCAUCCUCUUUGGUAAGCCUUACACUUAACGUGAGCUCCCACCUUUGGCGAGUUCAUGCACAUUAUUCCCCACAACUUGUUGAGCGAUGAACGUAUGUGAGCUCACUCUUGCUGUCUCACCCCCCCCCCCACACAGGUCAAGAACAGGUACCACAGGAUGAGGCGCAUGGAGGAUGCUGCGAUGUGUUCGUGAGAGGUCUAGGUCGUCGUCUCCCAGUCAACUUUGGGUUGCUGGACCGUUGUCUCCUUAUAUGUAAUUAUUUAUUUAUUUUGUAUAGAACUCCUGUUAUGUAGUAAAGAUGUGACAUUCGAUCCUGUGCCAUGAUUCAUCAUAUGUGUGAGACUUGGUCCCAGCACACCUGGUGAUUAUGUUCGCGCCCGGGUCUUGGUGCCUCGAAACCCAUGUGUGACAGAAGUGGUAUCAGAGGAAUGUUGACUGUAGGACGAAACCUAGAUAGAACUGGACAACCAUUGUCUACUUACCUUUGCUACUCUGAUUCUUUCUAAACUUUCCUUAAUCUUCUCUCAUUUAUUUCCGCUUUACUCUGACUAUUCUUACAUUUUCUUUUCUAAAGACAAAUGUGGAUUUCAUACUUCGAAAUCCUGUGCCUAAAGUGACCUUCAGGAAUAGGAGACCUACUUUUAAGAAACAAAAAUAAAACUAUUUUUUUAUAGAUAUCUAUGAACUUGAUUGUUUGUUCUUAUGAUACUUGUUUGAUUUGGAUCUUUGAUUGAGUGUGAUGAGUUGUGGAGUAAUGUCCACAAUUACAUCUACAUAUACAUAUAGGCAUAAAUAUAAAUAAAUAAAAUUCAUAAGAUAAAAAAGUCUAGAUUAUCCCCCAUUAAAGUGUACCUAUUUUAAUAGAUCCAUCUCAUUUUAAAAGAUACUCUCUUACCUUAAUAGAUUCAUCUUAUCUUGAGAAGAUGUUAUCUUAUCCUAAUAGAUCUAACUGACCUCAUAUCUUAAUCGAUUUAAUCUAGAUCACCAUCUAAUCCAAUAUGAUCCAAUCAAAAGUGAGUUACUAACAGGUUAGUUAAUUCGGUGAUAUGGGUUAGACACUGCUUCAACAAACAUAACCUAACCUAAAUUAAUGUCAUAUACCAACUUGUCUAUAAACAACAAUAUAACCUACAUCACAGGCUGCUUAGUCCAUUUGUUCCAAAAGCAAAAUACAACUCUGUUCAAACCUACCUACCUCGUGUACCCCGACUAUCCUAACUAUAUGUCCUUAACUCGGAUGGCACCUCCAAGAAGAAAGACCAAAGAAGACCAACCACGUCAAAGAAGGAUAAGCAUCAACUCAAGCCUUCAAAGAUCAAGCUAAAUCAUCAGAUGAAUCAAGAUCCACAAAUCUUGGAUGGAGUCUUUCCUUACCCUACACUUUCUUACCCAAACCUAUCUAUGCUUUAAAGACAUCUUCUAUCCUACAUAAUAAAGUAGACAUACAUAUAUACACCCAUGCUUUCCUAAUCACCUGCCAAUUUGGGUUUAGACUUGGAAAAAAAUAUUUUGGUACUAAAACUACUUAGACACUGAAAUAUAGAUUACAAACCAAUCUCUCUGUAACCCUUUUCUUACAAAUCUCGUGGGCGAGAGUUCUGUUAAGGGGGGUAGGAUUUGUAAGACCCAAAAUUAGUAGAAUUUUUUUUGAAUUAUAAAAUAAAUAAAUAAAUAAAUAUAGUUGUUGUAGUGCUUUAGGUAAUGAGAAAAGAAAUUUGUAAUGAAGUCAACCAUCGUUAGAGUCAAAUAUGAGAAAGAGAAUAAAAUGGUAAUAUUUAAAAUAAUAUGGUUGAUAUUCACAAUUGGAUUUCAAUUGAGACUUUUGGGAAAUUUUAAAUUUAAAACAGGAGUUGAAUUUAAUUUGGAUAUCUGCAAUUUGAAAAUGGAAAGAGGAAUGGGGAAAGAUAAUGAGAUAGAAAUGGAAAAGGAUAUACAUUAUAAAACAAGAUAUAUAUGAUUAAUUAUAAUUUUUCACACUAGUGCUUUAUUGGUACAUUUAAGCCUAUGUGUGAACUCACAAACGAAUUUGAAUUCAAAUACUAAACUUUGAAAUUAAGAAAGAAAUGCAAAACAAAAAUAAUAAAAGAACAAAAAAAUGGGGGGGUCGAAUUGGGCCCAAAACCCCCGACUGGCCUAUUUCUCCACUCCCGCCGCCUAAUUCAGGGCUGCGCUCCCAGGCGCCGACCGGUGGGCCCGCCCAGGCAGCCACCCGGGGCGUGUGCGGUCGCUGUUCUGCGGGGCCCGCGUAGUCGGUCUCUGGGGCUCGAUAGCGACUCCCCCUUUUCGCUGAAGCAUGGGCUCUGGUGUGCGGGAGUCAUCCCCUACCUCGUGACCAGACUGCCGCUACCGAUGCCGCGAUUCUCGCGCUGCACCAGGAUUCUGUUGCCGCUUUCCCUUAGACUCGAUCCUCGCGGACUCUGCCUAUAAAACUCAGCCGCCGUCCCUGCUCGUCAACAGAAAACCUUCGUGGCGCAUCAAGCACAGGGUGAGAGAUAGGGGAGCGCUGAGUCAAGCCGGGAGCCGCCACCGUGCGAAUCAAGGGUCACCGCCGUCAAAGCUAUCAGUGCCAUCGUUCGGAGUCCUAGGGCAGGCGCGGGGGUCAUCUGUGCAUCGUUAAUUGCUCAUCGGAGCAAAAUCUCCGCCGUGACUCGCUUCUCACCGUGGUCUGGGCACUAGGCUGCAUACCUCUCGGUGAGUACCCCCCAACUACUUCCCACCGUCCGUCUCUAGAGAAUUCCGCCUCUGGAUUAGAGUUUAUGCGUUGUGAGUGGGGGAGUGCGUGGCACCGGCCAUGGAGCGCCGCCGUGUAGUUCCUGCGCGGCGUCGCUCGGCCUGGCUCAGGGAUGGAAGAAGACGGGUCCCUGGCCGUAGGAUUGAGAUGGACGGCUGGGAUUAAAAGUAGCAUUUACCCCUUCGCGUAUUGAAUCCAAGCCUUUGGCGCCUGAUCGAGUGGAUGGGGUUUGAGAUCGUCUGGAACCGUGGAUGCCGCAUCCAAGGGUUGUGGGUGAUUCCUGUUCACUUUAGGGGGGAUCUAAUCCCGUCGGUUGAUGGGCGAUCGGACGGCUUUGGGUCCCCGGUACCUCUUCGCCGUUGCCGAGUUGCUAAAGAGCCCCUGCGGUUUUUCUUAUUCAACCCGCCAUCCCGUGCCAUUACAAGACCAUUACCGUUUAGUCCUGGAAUUUAUGUAGAACCCCCUGGUCUUUGUUAAAAUUGUGUCGCCAGUCCAUACAUAGAAUAAAGGGAGGAAAUUAAUAAGGAAAAUGGGAUUUUAGUAUAAAAAUAAAUCUUGAAACUUAUUUAAUUCAUAUUUAGCUCAUUUUAACUCUGAUUUGAUCCAUUCGAAUUGCGUUAGCUUCAUAAAAAUAUUAUCUACGCAGUAUCAACAUCAUGUAUACCAUAUUCCAUAUAAUUAUAAUUAGGAUAGUGUUCAAACUUUAUUCAGUAGAUUAACUCUAUUAACCUAGGAUUAAUCUCUCCAUAAAUGUAAUCUGAGUAAAAGGUAAUCCCUAAUCAAGUUAUGAUCUAGGUUAAAGUUGGAUUAAUUAUUUAGAAUAUAUUUUCUCAUAUACUGUAUAAUAUAGUUUAAUCACAUAGAUCUUCCAUAAAUCAUAACUCCUUAAACGUAACCCCGAUUUUAGUGAUUCUCGUUCCUACGAUCUCGUAGCGGCGCGUAGAUUAUUAUUACGCAGUUUAUUCUUAUGUUUGGUGUAAUGUUAAUUUUGCCUAUACACUGUUUGUUUGUAAUUCUAUGACUAGCGUGAGGACACGUGUCAUCUGAAGAGCAAGUUGGUACCUGGAAUCUCAAGUCCCAGGCAAGUUGUGCCCUUGAUCACUUCUUUUUACCCACUCAUGUUCUAAUUAAUCAUAAUGAUCUGCAUAGGUUAAUUUUGAUGGGACCCAAUAGGUUACCCUAGUUUGAUUAUCUUUAUACCUUGUUUACCACUGAACUUUUUGGGUAGUACUUGCUAGUGCUUUAUAUGGUUUUGGGUAUGAAGAUACAUUAUUCAUGAUCACACUUUUAUUAUCUAUUUAUUAUUAUUGUUCAUGAUAAGAUCAUUAUGUUAAUUGGAACAUGGAGCGACCACCCGGGAAAACAGUGCUACCACAAGGGUUUAAUGGGACGCCCUUGACUGAUUAAUUAGGAAAGCUAGUGGAAGACUACCUUACCCGAAAGGGGCAAGGGCAGUAGGGGAGUGGUCAGUGUAGGGAGGUCCUUGGGAUGAUUUUGCUGCGAUGGCGAUCAUGCGGGGGAUCCCUGCAUUGGAGCUUCCUAUAAACUGUAGCGGGUUUUCUGAAGCUAGUGGAACUUUGUAAAGGCCUCGUAGUGUUACCCUGCCUCGCCUCCUCGUUAGAGGUGUAUGGGAAGUCGCGAUCCCUUGGCAGAUGGGUAACAUGACUUGUGGGUAAAGAUGCGCAACCUCUGCAGAGUGUAAAACUGGUAUACUAGCCGUGCUCACGAUCAUGAGCAGCUCGGACCCUCACAUGAUUAAUUUAUGGAACUAAAUUCAAUUUGUCAUAUGCAUUGCAUCUUAGGUGAUGUUAUUACUUUUCUUAAUUGGGUUGGAAUUUACUUAUACUUAGUAACUGCUAAUAAAAUUUUCACCAACUUUAAAAGAAAUGCUCAGCUCUAACCAUCCUCUUUGGUAAGCCUUACACUUCACGUGAGCUCCCACCUUUGGCGAGUUCAUGCACAUUAUUCCCCACAACUUGUUGAGCGAUGAACGUAUGUGAGCUCACUCUUGCUGUCCCACACCCCCCCAUAGGUCAAGAACAGGUACCACAGGAUGAGGCGCAUGGAGGAUGCUGCGAUGUGUUCGUGAGAGGUCUAGGUCGUCGUCUCCCAGUCAACUUUGGGUUGCUGGACCGUUGUCUCCUUCUAUGUAUUUAUUUAUUUAUUUUGUAUAGAACUCCUGUUAUGUAGUAAAGAUGUGACAUUCGAUCCUAUGCCAUGAUUCAUCAUAUGUGUGAGACUUGGUCCCAGCACACCUGGUGAUUAUGUUCGCGCCCGGGUCUUGGUGCCCCGAAACCCGGGUGUGACACAGCGAGACACACAACAGCGACGACAGCCGAAUCGGCAACAGAGUGUUGGCGAACUCGACGAACACGACCACGGUCGCGUGCUGGCGCGGAUAGGAUAACAACAACUUGACGAGUUGGAGCAUCAGCGGGUAGCCGACGAGGGUGAGCAAAGCAUGCAGGACACCGGGCGUCGCGGCGAGCUAGAAAAGGAUUCGGCGCGGGAGCUCGACACGCACAAAUUUUUGUUUCGUUGCUCCACGCAUGACGCGUGGACAGACGGCAAGCAGGGAUGCGCGGUGAAAUCUCGAGCAUGACACAGGGAACCGCCCACGGCGAGCAUAGGGACACGGCUGCGCGCGGCGUGUGCGCAGAGAGCUCGACCGGGCGCGGCGAGCUGGGGACUGAGCGCGGUCCGAGCUAGGAAGAACCGGAAUACCACGACGUGCAGGGAGAUGGCAAAGCGGAGCACGUGUGUUGACGCCUUUUUGGAGCGUCAAAUACUCAAGAAGAACCGGCGGCGGUGCUCUCUGGUCAGGCGCGGACGGUCCGCGGCCUGGGGCCGGACGGUCCGCGACCUGGCACAGGGGCUAGGGUUUCCUGCCUGACGGCCAGACGGUCCGAGCCCUGGGGCCGGACGGUCCGCGCGUGCGCAGGGGCGGCGGAAGAUCGCCGGCGGCACCUGGGUCUCGCUCCCGGGAGGGACCCUGUCGGGGAGGAGAGAUCCUAGGGAUUGUCUAGGCUCGGGCCGGCCGACCUAGACUCCUCUAAUCGGCGUAGAGUCGAAGAGAGGCGAAGAAUUUGGGGAUCGAGAGGCUAAACUAGAACUAGACUAGAACUACUCCUAAUUGUACUGGAAAUAAGUGCGAAUAGAAGUUGUAUUGAUUCGAUUGAUUCUUACAAAUCGGUCGUAGACCUCUCUUUUUAUAGAGGUGGGGGGCUGGACCCUUUACACGACUGGAUUCCGAGCUAAUUCCGCAAAUCUAGCCAACAAACAUAGCACAAAACUCGGAACCCUAAACUGCUCUGCGCAUGCGCGGACCGUCUGGCCCAUAGGCGCGGACUGUCCGGACCGCGGACCGUCCGGCCUCAGGGCCGGACCGUCCGCCCGCUCAAAAUGGAGCUCAACAUAUGCCCCCCUGCCUUUUGGUGGAGCUGAGCAAACCAAAAGCAACUAACUCGAUGUGAUUACAUCGGUUCUCUUAGGCAUCUUGCCACAUACUAGGAUGGUACUGCUUGAGGAAACGCCCAUUCAAAGCCUUAGGCAAGUCCUUGCCUUGUAAUGUUUGUAGCAAAUAGGCGUUGCCAGACAUCACCUGUUUUACUUUAUAAGGACCUUCCCAGCUUGGUGACCAUUUCCCGAACUUCCAGUCUUUAUUCCUUAUAGGCAGAAUGGUCUUCCACACCAGGUCCCCUACUUGAAAUGAUUUUGCUUUGACCUUCUUGUUGUAGGCCCUGGCUACCAUGAUCUUGUCCUUUUCUGUUGCUCCCAAAGCUAUCAUCCUCUUGUCGGUCACCUCCUUUGACAUAAAAGAAGUACCUUGAUCUGUAGUUAAGGUCUGGGGAAUGCCGAAUCUAUGAAUAGUAUGCUCAGUUAUAAACUCGAUUACCUCCUUGUGUGUCAUGUUCUUUAGAGCAACGGCUUCAGUCCAUUUGGUGAAGUAGUCAGUGGCAACUAACACAAACCGAUGCCCCUUUGAUGAUGAAGGAUGAAUUUCUCCAAUAAAGUCUAAUCCCCAUCCUCUGAACGACUAAGGCUUGAUGAUAGGAUGUAAUUCGGUUGCAGGGACCAACUGUAGGUCGCCGAAUUUUUGACACACUUGGCAACCCUUGUAGUACUUGAAACAAUCAGCUAUCAUACUAGGCCAAUAAAAACCGGACCUUCACAACAACCACUUCAUCUUUGGAGCUGAUUGAUGAGUACCACAAAUCCCUUCAUGUACUUCGGCCAUGGCUAAUAUAGCAUCAUCUGGGCCCAAGCACUUAAGCAGGAUGUCAUUGACUGUUCGGCGGUAAAGUUCGUCACUCAUCAAAACAUACUUGAAAGUUGUUCGCCGAAUGUUCUUAUCUGUUUUGAUAUUGGGAUUUCGUAAAUAAUUAAGUAUAGGUGUCCUCCAAUCUCUUGCAUCGGCUUCAUUGUCAGCCGAAUCGAUUAAGAGAACAUUUCUGGUAACCCCGGAUGGUCUGGCGCCAUCACGCGGACGGUCCGCGACCUGGGAAUUUGGCUCUGCACUGGUUAUCAGAUUUUCAGUUUUGUGAAACUUCCCUCUCUUUAUCCGAUAACCUGAUGCAUCUUGUGCCAAAUCGUUAGCUCUAUGAUUCUCAACUCUAGAGAUAUGUUGAAUACUGAAUUCGUCAAAAGAAUGAAUUAUGCUCCAACAUUUCUCAAGGUAACUAUUUAGAGUACCAUCAAAACAUUGAUAUUCUUCUAACACUUGUUGGACAAUCAGCUGAGAAUCACCAAAUACCUUCACAUGUUUUACUCCCAUACCAUUUAAAAGUUCUAAGCCGAAUAGGAGGGCCUCAUAUUCAGCUUGAUUAUUAGUGCAAUAAGUUUUCAAUCGGCUAGAGAAGUCAAAGGAGACAUUAUUUGGUGAAACAAGCACAAUGCCAAUUCCUUGCCCUUCAUUGCAAACCGAUCCAUCAAAAUAUAAAGUCCAAGGAGUAAUAGUGAGGUAUGACAUGUCUAGUUCAUGAAUAUCAUUAACCCGAUGUUCUACAAUGAAAUCCGCUAUUAGUUGGCCUUUCAUAGAUUUCAAUGGUUCAUAGGCCAAGUCAUAUUCUAUGAGUGCAUAAGCCCACUUACCAAUUCUACCACUCAUAAUUGGGUUAUGCAAAAUGUAUUUGAUCACAUCGGCUUGACCAGAAACAGUGCAAUGACUAGACAGUAAAUAACAUCUACAUUUGGUGCAUGCAAAAAACAAGCAUAAGCAUAACUUUUCAAUAAAAGUGUACCUUGUUUCAGCAUCCACCAACCUUCGGCUUAGAUAUAUCACCACAUGCUCCUUCCCCUCAGUUUCUUGUGUCAGAACAGCCCCAAUGACCUUAUCCUCAGCUACAAUGUAUAAUCGGAAUGGUACUCCUGCUCGUGGUGCUUUUAAUACGGGAGCCGAAGAUAAGUAUUUUUUGAUGAGAUCAAAUGCUUCUUGCUGUUCUGCCCCCCAAGAGAAUUCCGCAUCAUUCUUAAGCCGAAGAAUAGGGGUGAACGCAUCAAUCUUCCCGGCUAGGAUAGAAAUAAACCUUCGUAAAUAAUUCACCUUGCCGAGAAACCUCUGUACCUCAACCUUACAGGUCGGAGGUCCCACAUUCCGAAUAGACUUGAUUCGGUCAGGGUCUAUCUCUAUACCAUGUUCAUGUAUGACAAAUCCUAAAAACUUACCAGCCGACACUCCAAAAGCACAUUUACGUGGGUUCAUUUUCAAACCAUACUGACGCAUUUUAUCAAAGGCUUUGCGCAAAUCAACUAUAUGAGAACUAAACUCAACCGAUUUGACUACAAUAUCAUCAAUGUAAACUUCCACAGUGUUUCCUAACAAUUCAUGGAAGAUCAAAUUCAUAGCCCUCUGAUAAGUAGCACCAGCAUUUUUCAGACCAAAUUUCAUGACAACCCACUCAAAUAAACCAAUGAAGCCAAGACAUAUAAAGGCCGUUUUAGACGCAUCUUCUUCGGCCAUGAAAAUCUAAUUAUAUCCAGCAUUACCAUCAAGGAAGCUAAUAAUUCUAUUUCCUGAUGCAUUAUUGAUUAAUGUGUCGGCUAUGGGCAUGGGAUAUUCGUCUUUAGGAGUUGCUCUAUUUAAAUUGCGAAAAUCAAUGCAUACUCUAAGUUUACCUGACUCCUUCUCCAUCGGCACAAUAUUGGAGACCCACUCUGCGUAUCUGCAAGGUCUGAUAAAAUCAGCUUCUAGCAGCCGGUGGAUUUCGUCCUUGAUGCAUGGGAGAAGAUCUGGACGAAAUGUUCUAGCUCUUUGCUUGAAAGGUCUGAAACCAGAUUUAAUAGGCAGCCGAUGCUCUACGAUCUCUCGGCUUAAUCCAGGCAUCUCAGUAUAAUUCCAAGCAAAGCAAUCUGAAUAUUCCUUCAAUAGACCGAUCAUCUCAUCUCUAGGAUCGGUCUCCAGGGUCUUGUUUACAAAAUUCGGCCUUGGAGUUUUACCAUCUCCUAUGUCAAUCUCCUCCAAAGGAUCGGCCGAUGUAAACCCCUGUCCUAGUUUAUCAAGAUCUCUGAAUUCCUCUAUUAUGUUCCCCACAGAGGAAUUAGAAGAUCUUUGUGUGACGGCGGACUCUCCGGUCUCGGGGACCGGAUCAUCCGUAAUACUGUCCUUUUGCUGUGAUAUAUGUUCGGUCUUAAAGUCCGAACCCUUUUGUGAAAGACCAGACCAUCCGGCCUUGGAAGCCGAACUGUCCGUGGCCAGAGACUCAUGAGUUUUGUGUGUAUUCAUCAUUUAAACUUUAUUUAGGAUUUAGCCGAUUCUCCAUCGGCUCUAGCAUUACAGGAAUGAAACCUUUCUUAUCUAUACUUAUGAAUUGAUAAUCAGAAAAAUCUACUCCUGUGAGACAUGUGGCAGUCUCAUAAGUCCAGAGUAUAGGGGCAUCGGCCACAGCGAUGCAGGCCGAUACAUCAGCAUGUACUUGUUCUAUGUCAUCGCCUACCCAUUGUAUUAGCAUUUGAUGUAAUGUAGAAGGUAUACAUUGAUUGGCGUGAAUCCAAUCUCUGCCUUAGAAUUAAACUGUAAUUUCCUUCUACAUCAGCGACGAAGAAUGCAGCAGCAAGGGUCUUAGUCCCGAUGGUUAAUUCAACAGACGUGACUCCCCUGGCUUUGAUCGAACUAUCAGUUCCAACACCGCUGAGGGUCAUGUUGGUCUUGACAAGUUCGUCAUCUUGUUUACCUAAUUUUAUGUAUAAUGAAUAAGGCAUUAGAUUUACAGCCGCCCCUCCGUCUACCAACAUCUUAGCAAUCGGUAUCCCAUCAAUGUGACCGCGCACGAAGAGCGGCUUUAAAUGAUUUACCGAUUCCUUUGGUUUAGUAAAGGCGGCUUCUUUAGGACCAAAAUCAAACUGGGCAACAACAGGUUCAUCGUCGCCGAUGAUAGUACAAUCGACAGAAAAUGUAAUAAUAUUUACAUCCAUACCUGGGCGUUCUGGAGAAGCCUUGUAGUCGACCAGGUCUUCUCCCAGCAGGUCGUCCUCUUCCAUUGAUGUUGUCGUGUCGUUGGAGGCCUCCUGGUGAACGGCGGACGGUCCGCACGCGGGGGCCGAACGGUCCGCACGCGGGGGCCGGACGGUCCGCGCCUGGUGCAGGUUGUCCAGAGGCUUCCUGGUGAACGGCGGACGGUCCGUGCGCGGGGGCCGGACGGUCCGCGCCUGGUGCAGGUUGACUUUCUAUUUCUGUGGCCGUUUGUUUUUUCUCAACGGCCUUCGGUCUCCAUUUCUUUUGCGAUGGCGGGUAUAGUGGAUGUGUGUCAUUAAAUGUCUUUUCCGCCUCCUUCUCCUGGCUCUCCUUUGCUCUUAGGCGCUGUAAUUUUCUCUUUUGGGAUCGUGUCAAUCCCGCUGGGCACCAUCGAGGCAUGGAGUAUUUUGGAUCGGCUGUUUUGAUGGUAGCCGUAUCCUUUUCGGUUGUGUUGGCCGAUUCGCCGAAAAUCAUCGGCCCUUUAUUGUCUCCCUGUAUGACAACAUCUGCGGUGCCUAUUUUGAUGAUGUCCUUUUUUUGUUGUUCUUUGAGUUGCUACAGGCAUAUGCCCCCCUGCCGGAUUGGUCGGCCUAGGAGGUCGAGUAGUCCGGCAAUCUUGUUGGGCCUGUGCCUGGUGACUAGAUUCAGCAGCGCUCAAUCGGUCUUGCACUGGCGGCGCCAACCUAUCAAAAACGGAUGUUUGGGGUGCCCCCCAGGCGGGGUACUGUGGCAUCCCACAUGGAUAUGGUGGCAUGCCCCACAUUUGAUUUGAGACAUAUGGUGGAGGUAAGUAUGUGUAUGGAUAUGGCAUAGAUGGAUAAGGGGGUGGAGGUGUCCAUGUAGGUAUGUUAGGUCUCAAUUGUACGAUAGGACCUUUCAUUUCAUCCGAUUGGUGAGGUGGUCCAAUCGGCCUGACCUGACGUUGCUCAUGAAUGGGUGAGCGGGGUCGCUUUGCUGGCCGGUCACUGGGGUCGGCCUUCUUUUUUACGUAUUUAGACAAUAAUUGAUCAAAAGUUGGGCCGGCUUUAACCAACCGACCAACUGCCUUGAAUGUAUUUGUUUUCCACGUACCUAUCUCUGGUCGUCGUGGUUUGAAAGUACGUGAACGUUGUGAGUCCUGAGUACGGCCGGACUGUCCGCCGGAGCUCUCCGGACCGUCCGGUGGGGUCCCGGACCGUCCGCGCCUACGUGUCGGACCGUCCGAGAUACGCAGCACGGGUUCCUGCAUCUGUCUCCCUGUCUGCGCUUGCCCCCCAGUACUAGAGGCUGUGAUGGUCACCUUUAGGGUCUCCCCUCCAUCGGGAGUCUUCUCGGCUACCACUUUCCUGCAAGAAACUUUACGAUCCCCAUCGGCCUCUUUAGCAUUGCCGAUGAUUGUCUCUUUGCCUUUCUCUUUAUCGGCUGUGUUUGGCCGAACUAGGACUUUCUUGCCCUCGAAGUCAAUCAUGUUCAUAGGAAAGGGCUCUGUAUCCACCUGCAUUUCCCGAAAUUUCAAUCGUCCCUCGUUAAUGGCCGAUUGAAUCUGUCACCGAAAUACAUUACAAUCAUUAGUGGCAUGAGAAAAUGAGUUAUGCCACUUGCAGUAUGCACGACGUUUUAGCUCGUCGGCAGAUGGAACAGUGUGAUUUAUUUUAAUGUUGCCAUUUUUGAGUAAUUCAUCAAAUAUUUUAUCACACUUGCCAACAUUAAACGUAAACUUUACAUCCUCCUGCCGUUUCUUUUGAAUCGGCUGUAGGGAAGCACAAGCCGAAGAUUUGGCCUGCUUUGGCCAAACCAUUUCAGCAGCAUAUAUUUCUGUUGACUCGUCCUCUGAGCUACUUUGAUCGCACUCUAUUAUAUGUACGUUAUGACGAAUUGCUUUAGCAGUUUCUUUGCUUCGGCUUUCACAAGCCGAAGCUCUCUGGUGUAACUGUGCUAGUGUAAAAAAUUGGAUGCCUUCUAAUCUUUCUUUUAAAUAAUAUCGUAGACCAUUAAAGGCUAAUCCUGCUAGCUGUUUCUCUGCUAAAUGAAUUUGGAAGCAUCAGUUUCUUGUAUCUCGGAUUCUCCGGAUGUAAUCAUUAACCGACUCAUCUUUUGCUUGUCGUAAUGACACUAAAUCUACCAAAUCCAACUCAUAGUCACCGGAGAAAAAAUGAUCAUGAAACUUUUGUUCUAGAUCCCCCCAUGAUGAAAUGAAAUUAGGAGGUAAAGUGGCGUACCACGCAAAUGCAGUUCCUGUUAAAGAUAAUGAAAAUAAACGUAUGCGAAAUGCCUCCGUGUCGCCCAACUCUCCUAAUUGUGCUAAAAAUUGGACUAUGUGUUCACGUGUGUUCUUUCCUUGAUCACCCGAAAAUUUUGCGAAUUCGGGUAUCCUGGUUCCCUAUGGGUAUGGGUGGUGAUCAAAUCGGCUGUCAUAAGGUUUCCGAUAUGAUUGCCCCCCAGGGACCAUGCUUACUCCGAGCUUAUCUCGGAACGCCCCGGCAAUUUCUUCCCUUACUAUAUCGAUGGCAGCCGGUUCGAGACCACCGGCUCUCUGGUCAAACAUAGGUGGGGUUGGCUGGAUAUUAGCAUAUUGUCUUUCCCCCCAUUGGUUUGAACUACGUGGUGCAUUGCCACUUGCCCUAUAUGGUUCAUAUGUUUGAUCGUUCCUUUCCGGCCUUCUCGGUGGGGCCGGAAAGUUUUCCUGGGCUCUAGAUCUCGAAUUAAUGGGUUGAUGCAUUGUAUAGUGCGAUGGGAAGUGCUGCUGGGACGAGUGAGGAUUCAGGUAACAAUCCUCCUCAAAAAGGUCAUGUGCGGACUGUCCGGACAUUGGCCCGGACCGUCCGUGAUUAUGUGCGGAUCGUCCGUCGUUGUACGCGGACGGUCCGACUGGGUAGUUUAGAUUAUGUGUCGUGUGUGGUGGUUCGGGCGCAUAUCUAGGUAACUCAUUAAAAAUCGGCCCGACUGUUGUUGGUCCGGAUGGUCCGCGCUCACGUGCGGAUGGUCCGCGCUCACGUGCGGAUGGUCCGCGCUCACGUGCGGACGGUCCGGGCAUGCGCAGAUCGGCUGAUUUGCUGCCGAUUUGCGGUUGCUCAGGGUAUGUGUCCAUCGGCAUCCCAUAAAGGGGUUGUGACUGGUCGUGACAACCUGUAGCCGAUGUGUUACGCGUGUUACCUCCUAACUCAACCUCGUGCGAAGGAAAAUUUGUGAUACUAGAUUUAUCAAAUGCACGUACUAGUCUCUUAAGAUCGCUUUGCAUACCCCCUAUGAUGUUCUGCAUUUGUUCACGCUGAUCUUCUACAUAAUUUCUAAGAGAUUGCAGAUUGUUGGUAUUACUUACAUUGGGGAUAUCUAGCGUGGGUUGGAGCGAAGCCGGAUCCGUCGCCCGAUGUCGGACGACCUUGUUGUUCCUGUCCACUUUGAAGUUGGCCAAGAACUUUGCUUUCGCCUCCUGGAUCAUCCGCUCCUUGUGCUCCUCGAACUGGAGCUGCUCGUCAGCCGGCAAGGUUUCCCAAGUCGGCUCUAUGAUGUUGCUUGGAGAAAUAUCAGAGCUAUCCCUUGAACCGGCCAUUGAGGGCCGAUUUGAUAAGCUUAGAUAUGUAUGUUCCCCAGCGGAGUCGCCAAAAAGUAUGUUGACGCCUUUUUGGAGCGUCAAAUACUCAAGAAGAACCGGCGGCGGUGCUCUCUGGUCAGGCGCGGAUGGUCCGCGGCCUGGGGCCGGACGCUCCGCGACCUGGCGCAGGGGCUAGGGUUUCCUGCCUGACGGCCGGACGGUCCGCGCGUGCGCAGGGGCGGCGGAAGAUCGCCGGCGGCGCCUGGGUCUCGCUCCCGGGAGGGACCCCGUCGGGGAGGAGAGAUCCUAGGGAUUGUCUAGGCUCGGGCCGGCCGACCUAAACUCCUCUAAUCGGCGUAGAGUCGAAGAGAGGCGAAUAAUUUGGGGAUCCAGAGGCUAAACUAGAACUAGACUAGAACUACUCCUAAUUGUACUGGAAAUAAAUGCGAAUAGAAGUUGUAUUGAUUCGAUUGAUUCUUACAAAUCGGCCGUAGACCUCUCUUUUUAUAGAGGAGGGGGGCUGGACCCUUUACACGACUGGAUUCCGAGCUAAUUUCGCAAAUCUACCCAACAAACAUAGCACAAAACUCAGAACCCUAAACUGCUCUGCGCAUGCGCGGACCGUCCGGCCCACAGGCGCGGACUGUCCGGACCACGGACCGUCCGGCCUCAGAGCCGGACCGUCCGCCCGCUCAAAAUGGAGCUCAACAACGCGUCAUGAAGAAACGCCGGCUGCGCGCAGGGCGAACUGAAGCAGGAGCACCGAGCAGAGGAGGAAAAAGCACGGCUGGGUAGAGAAACUUCACGGCGCUCGGCGCGGCGAGGACGCACGCGCAGGUGAGCUGGAGCUGCGUGCGACGCGAGCAGAGGAAGAAGACGACAGUGGGAGAGGGCGACCGCGGCGCGCUAGGGAGUUCGACGGCGAGCUGCAGGAAGAUCCGGCCAGGCGCCAUGGCUGGGAGCUCUGAGCAGAGGAAGCAUCACGGCAGUGGCAAACGGCUGGGGUGGCUCUGGUGUGGAUCCUGGUUUGGAGAAGAAUGACGGUCGACGAGGAGGACGCCGGUCAAAGCAGCGGCCGGACAUCCAUGGCAGCCGUCGAAGCACAGUGGAGCUGAGACAGGGCAGUGACGCACGCCAACCCUGUGCGCGCAUAGAGAGGAGGACGGAGAAGACUAGAGGUGAGCUAGGGAGCCGAGAAUCGGCCAGGGGCACGCAGGGAGAAAUGAGAGGCCGCGGCAAAGGGAAGAGAUCUAGGCGAUGGAUAUCUCUGCAGGAAUUGAGCGGCGGAAGAAAAAUCUCCACGCCCGCCCGCGGCAGUGAGCGGUGGGAGGAUGAGGAUCGGCUGGAAGUGACUCAGAAAAAAUCAGGAAGCCAUGUGGAGUUACGUGAAGAAAUGAUGAUUGAUGACUAGGAGAUAUUUGGGAGAUUUUUGAGGAAUUUUUAUUUUCUUUUUCUUUCUCACGCAAAAGCGUCAGCCAAAAUACCAUAGAUAUUUUGGAUCCCAAUUUUCUUAACGAUGUAUACAAUGUAGACAGUAAUUGUGACACGGUUUUGAUUUAGCGAAUACUUAGAAUCAGAUAAAUUUGCACCCGUCAUUUAUAUCCAAAGUUUUGGAUCGGGGCGAGAAACGAUGGCCCGAAUAAGACCGAUUAGAAUUUAUUCGAGUUUGGCUCGGUAUUUUAAUCUGCUCUUCGUGAUUUGACUGACAUUAGCCGCAACCAUAUCUGCUGAUGCACACGCGAUUUUGUCGUCAAAACAGCGUGCAGAAGGAUAAAGUGGAUCUUAACCUCGCACACGAUUUCUCUCAGACAACGCGUGUUACAGAUUAUUUUGCCCCGAUAUAUUAGUCGUCGAGUUCUUCUUAAUCGGUUCGGUAUAAAAUCAUCCGAGUGAGUCGGGCUUCCGAAUUCGUAUUCGCGCGAGCGAUAAAUUUUUAAAUAAUCACCGGACGCAUCGAUUUCUGGAAUAAUUAUGUUCCGAACAACACGAAAAUUUAGGAAGAGCCAAGACGGAUAAAAAUAAAAACGAUGUCGCACUCGCGACAAAGGAAACAGAUGCGAUAUUAAAAUCGCGAUAGGCGAUUAUAAUUAGACCUCAAUGUCCGUCUUAUUUACUGAUAUCACGUGCUUAAAUCCGUACUCAUUGUCGAGCGGAAUAUAAACACCUAGGGUGUUACAGCCCUCGCCACUUAAAAGAAUCUCGUCUCGAGAUUCGGAGCGAAAGACUUUUAAGAGUAGAGAAGCAUGUAACCCAUGUCCAUAUUAGUGAUAAUCAUAAGACAGUUCCAAGCAAAGGUGAGUGUCUCAGGAUAGGGUUUCUCUAGUGGACAUAACAUGUAUCGCCUUAGGCAAAUUUAGAAAUGUCCACCAAUAAGGAUGUUGUCUGCCAGAGGAACACAUAAGGUUCCAUGUGUGCAGUUCGCUUUUUCUGAUGACACUGUACUAUCUGAGUCUAUUGAGUGAGCGACAAUUACGCGAUUUUAUCCAAACAGAAUCAGAUGCAACCUCUUGGGUAAAACACACAAAAGGAGGUUUACCAACAAGUGGUUACGGUAAGUUCAUAGCACAGGGAACAUGUGUGGAUGUCGAAUACUGUCGUGGUUAACAUGUGGCUAACCCGAGAAUUCAAGUCCAUGAAAGAUGGUAUAGAUUCAAAGAAUCACCGGCGAAGGGACAUGUAGAUGCGGACUUUGCAACUAGUCCAUUUUACCUAGUACUAAUCAUGGCUCGACUUGAUCACCUAUGCUGGGAAAACACACGUGAUGCGAUCGAGGCAUGACUAGAGCGAUAAUUAGGUGGUUAUUAGUCGACUUAACUUGAUCUGUGUAAGUACUUUCUUAGAAUGGUUUGAACCAAAGUGAGUUUAGAUAACUCGAUAAAACGAUCUCUAAACUCACCCUUUGUUCAUUGGAUAGUUGCAAGUUAGUAAAACCAACUUGUUGAACUACUCAUGACAUUGAGUGGGUCCUCUCAGUACCAUCGGUAAGCCAAGGGUUGAGAGUUCACAUUUUGCUACCAAAAGGUCAUGCACUUGGGUAGAAAUCCAUUUGGUCAGGUUGUUCAUCUGUUUCUUCGUACGAGAUGAACGGAUUUAGUUAAGGAAUAUAUGGAUUAAAUAAGAGGGCGAAUGAACAAACUCCUGCAUCUCAGCAGCAGGGGAAACAAAUCACCAUUUUGAGAGCUAAUCAGUUGUCUCUCGACACUAAAAAGCUCCAAGGCUUCACCUUUACACAAAGGACGUAAAGGGAACUUGUAUGUGUGUAGUCACCACCAAAGUAAAGGGACAAGAGACCACACAUUAAAGGGGUAUGCCCUUUUGAUCCAACAGAGAUGAUAGAUGUUGCUUGAUCACUUGACAAACAACAUAGAAAUUGUUUCAAGGAAGUAGUUUACGGAAGAUAACACAUAAGUGUAGUUCCACAAUGGAUCAUGACCAGAGACCUUGAUACCAGCAUCCGACGAGUAGCACAGUCCUGUGUGCGCAUUCACAGGAGGCUCUCAGUUUCGCUGCGGCACCAUAAGUCAUUAACCAUGACACCAUUACCGAACUGGCACCAAUAACAAUCUCACGUAGCAAAAAAACAUAUUGUGCCAAGAUAACGUAUUGACAUAAUCUCAUAAUGGAUUACAACUACUAACUGUGAUACCAGCGCGUGCCGAGUAGCACAACCAUGUGUGCGCACCCACAGAAGGCCCUCGGUUUCGUCACGGCUCCAUCAGUUUUAAUCAUAGCACCAUUACCAGACAUAACCAAUAAGAAAUCUCGCGCGACACCAAUGGAUUAGGCAAGGGUGACAAUAUACAAAGAGACUCUACCUGUCAAAACGGUUACAAGUAGAGAGUCAAAUAGAUCAUGGCCCAAUGAAAUGAACAAGGCAUGGCCAUAACCUAAACUUGAUGGAAGGAGUAUGAUGGGAGACUGUUAAUUCAGCCCCAAACAUAUUUCUAUGCCCAUCAUAGGGAUUACAAGGUCAAGGAUUAGUAUCUGACUAGAUGCGGAGUAAAAAUAAUCAUGAGAUUAAGUUGGUAUGCCUUCGAUAGAAAUGAGGAAAUCAAAGGCAUCAAACUCAAGAAAAUGAUGAGACAUGUCUUUCCUAGGUUGGGUCGAUAAAGCAAUAUGGCGAUCCUUAAGAACAUGCAAACUAGAUAAGGGACAUCAGCUUGUGCCAAUCGAACAAGGGCAUGGUCUAAGAUGGAAUUAUGACAACUAAAACAUCACAGAUUAAAUAGCAAGAACAUGGACUCGAGAUCCUAGCUUUAAGCCCAUGCACAUCUUGCGUUGGAUAAAGGAAUUAUCCAAACAUCCAUUUACAUGAGUUUGGUCAUGGGGAAAUAACAGGAAAUUCAACUUUGGGUCAUGGUUCACCUACUAAGAACAUGACCUAGAUUUGGGUUUAGGCAAACAAGUGUCUAACCUUCUAUCGACACAUUAAGCACAAGAGCACACAUAUAGCAUCUAAACAUAAUACCUAAGGAACGAAGAACAACUAUUUUAUUGAAGUUCAUAAUUCAACAUUACACCAGAUUAUCUACAAUCACUGGUUUCUGGAAUAAGGAUGAGAGAAGCAUUUUGGAUGUAUAUGUAACAAACAUGAUGCAACAAUCAGGAUGCAUCCUCGUCCUAUACGUCCUCACGAAUUUGUGCCAAUCUAAUGUGGCAGUAGCGUUCUAUCUCGGUGGCAUACUUACGACUCUCACGGUAUUUUGCUAGUCGUCAGCUACACAUACGUUUUCGAGGUUAGUGUACCUGCAGAAAAUUCCAUCACAACCCAAUUUCCCAAUGAUGCAGUUCACACAAGGCAAUUUAUCACAGUUUAUACUCCAUAUAUUGCUAUAUGGAUGCCAGCUCAUCAUUAAGCGUCGAACCACGCAUAGGCGUCGUUGCCACACUUUAACCAUAGGGCAACUCAUUAUGGUAACUCACCUUCUUACCUGAGCGUAGAUGCGUCGUUACAAGUACAUUACAUUUCUCAGUAUGCCCAUGUCUGUAUACCCAUAGACAUCCAUGGGGUAUUGAAUUCCCAGAAAAUUUAAAUACUCCACAUCACGGCCUUCAUAUAUACAUAUGUGGAACAUGUAUAUAAUCAAGCGCUUUUUACACUCUUCCCUAAACCGACGUUUGUUCGGUCAUGCUCUCACAUCUCACCUUACCUUGAGCGUCGAUCCAUUCAAAACUGAAUGGCCUUAAAAAUAACAAUACACAUGUAUGCAAUACCCACCCGGUUGUGGGUUAGUGGUUUUCAAAUAAGCCACCUGAUAGUCCUUAGUUUAGGGCUUAACAGAGGAUGUCGCUAGCAUUGUAGUUUUCAAAUCUAUAGUUUUUCAAAACCAAACAAUGUGUUUAGAUGAAAAUAGGUUUUCUAAAACCAAAACUUUUGUUUUGAAAAUACGUAUGUGAAGUAUAUACUUAAUCCUGCUCCGAUACCAGCUGUGGCAGAACCUCCCAAGGUAUCGGACCCACAUGCACCUGUCCUUGUCCCAAAGACCUCAGACGGCCAUGCAUGUGCACCAGAUAACUUAACAGGAUCCGUCCGAUUGCCCCAAGGACAUCGGAUAAACCACUUACAACCAGAACCGCGGGAUUAAGUAAACACAAAUCACACACCAACAAUUUUGCAACGAAAAUCUUAUUACCAAAUUUUACAAGUUACAUCAAGUUUUACUUUGUAUGAUCGGAGUGAUUACAAAGUAUAAGUUUGAAAUAUAUGCUAGCUCAAGUGACCAUCCUCAAUAAGAAGGUAAAGACAGGGUAUACUUAUAUAAGAAGGCCAAGCCCACCGGCACUUAACACCAUCACAACAACACAAGGUUAGAACCUAAAAAACAACAGGGAAUAAAACCCUGAGUAUGAAAUUACUCAGCAAGACUUACCCGACUAAAGAAAAGACUCUCAAGGAUAUGCUGGAUUUGGGACUCAAGGAGAGGCUUUAGCAAGAAUCAACUUAGAUACUUUUGCAGAAUUAGCUUACUAAAGUGAGUCCUUACUUUCAAUAUUUUAAUGCCAGAUUAAAUAUUAAUAGACUUUGUUUGCAUCUGGUCUAAUUUCACCAUCUCAUCAAUACAACAUCAUUUUUAUUCAUGAGAUUCACAUCCUGACUUAGGUUGCAGGGCAGCGAUCAAGUCUCCACUCUCCGGGGAUAUAACGGCGAUCCGAAUCGAUUUACUCAGCUGAGGAUCUCUAACCACACGACAUAUGUAGCACUUAACCCUUG
This 25145-nucleotide long non-coding RNA is filed under the name Zea mays. Its description in RNAcentral is "long non-coding RNA (ZMAY_LNC001013)". The record is from RNAcentral. Lineage: Eukaryota; Viridiplantae; Streptophyta; Magnoliopsida; Poales; Poaceae.